Molecule: ribosomal RNA, 492 nt
Filed under: uncultured bacterium
Lineage: Bacteria
Description: partial 16S ribosomal RNA
Rfam family: Bacterial small subunit ribosomal RNA
Source: RNAcentral
AGUGAACGCUGGCGGUAGGCCUAACACAUGCAAGUCGAACGGCAGCACAGUAAGAGCUUGCUCUUACGGGUGGCGAGUGGCGGACGGGUGAGGAAUACAUCGGAAUCUACUUUUUCGUGGGGGAUAACGUAGGGAAACUUACGCUAAUACCGCAUACGACCUACGGGUGAAAGCAGUGGAUCUUCGGACCUUUCGCGAUUGAAUGAGCCGAUGUCGCAUUAGCUAGUUGGCGGGGUAACGGCCCACCAAGGCGACGAUCCGUAGCUGGUCUGAGAGGAUGAUCGGCCACACUGGAACUGAGACACGGUCCAGACUCCUACGGGAGGCAGCAGUGGGGAAUAUUGGACAAUGGGCGAAAGCCUGAUCCAGCCAUACCGCGUGGGUGAAGAAGGCCUUCGGGUUGUAAAGCCCUUUUGUUGGGAAAGAAAAGCAGCAGGUUAAUACCCCGCUGUUCUGACGGUACCCAAAGAAUAAGCACCGGCUAACUUCGUG